AGUGAGGAAUAUUGCGCAAUGGGCGAAAGCCUGACGCAGCCAGACCGCGUGCAGGAAGACAGCCGUAAGGUUGUAAACUGCUUUUGUCAGAGAGGAAAAGUAUCUACGUGUAGGUAUUUGACAGUAUCUGACGAAUAAGCACCGGCUAACUCCGUGCCAGCAGCCGCGGUAAUACGGAGGGUGCAGGCGUUAUCCGGAUUUACUAGGUUUAAAGGGUCUGUAGGCGGUAUAGUAAGUCAGUGGUGAAAGCCCUGAGCUCAACUGAGGAAUUGCCAUUGAUACUGCUAAACUUGAGUUUUGGUGCUGUUGGCGGAAUGCAUCAUGUAGCGGUGAAAUGCUUAGAUAUGAUGCAGAACACCGAUUGCGAAGGCAGCUAACAAACCGGAUACUGACGCUGAUAGACGAAAGCGUGGGGAGCGAACAGGAUUAGAUACCCUGGUAGUCCACGCCGUAAACGAUGGACACUCGUUCUUGGACUUUAUAGUUCAGGGACUAAGCGAAAGCAUUAAGUGUCCCACCUGGGGAGUACGUCGGCAACGAUGAAACUCAAAGGAAUUGACGGGGGCCCGCACAAGCGGAGGAACAUGUGGUUUAAUUCGAUGAUACGCGAGGAACCUUACCUGGGCUUAAAUGUCGGGCAUCUUCGGAUGUAGUCAGUAGAAAUACUGCUUAGACCGGCAAGGUGCUGCAUGGUUGUCGUCAGCUCGUGCCGUGAGGUGUCGGGUUAAGUCCCAUAACGAGCGCAACCCUUAUCCUUAGUUGCCAUCAGGUAAAGCUGGGCACUCUAGGGAAACUGCCAUCGUAAGAUGUGAGGAAGGUGGGGAUGACGUCAAAUCAGCACGGCCCUUAUGUCCAGGGCUACACACGUGUUACAAUGGUCGGUACAGCGGGCAGCCACUUGGUGACAAGGAGCUAAUCCUGAAAGCCGGCCUCAGUUCGGAUUGGAGUCUGUAAUUCGACUCCAUGAAGUCGGAUUCGCUAGUAACCGCGUAUCAGCAAUGAUGCGGUGAAUACGU
This 1016-nucleotide ribosomal RNA is filed under the name uncultured bacterium. RNAcentral describes it as "bacterial SSU rRNA". It matches the Rfam family "Bacterial small subunit ribosomal RNA", at positions 353 to 1371 of the family's 1533-position model. The record is from RNAcentral.